GACGAACGCUGGCGGCGCGCCUAACACAUGCAGGUCGAACGAGCGAGAGAGAGCUUGCUUUCUCAAGCGAGUGGCGAACGGGUGAGUAACGCGUGAGGAACCUGCCUCAAAGAGGGGGACAACAGUUGGAAACGACUGCUAAUACCGCAUAAGCCCACAGGUCGGCAUCGACCAGAGGGAAAAGGAGCAAUCCGCUUUGAGAUGGCCUCGCGUCCGAUUAGCUAGUUGGUGAGGUAACGGCCCACCAAGGCAACGAUCGGUAGCCGGACUGAGAGGUUGAACGGCCACAUUGGGACUGAGACACGGCCCAGACUCCUACGGGAGGCAGCAGUGGGGAAUAUUGCACAAUGGGGGAAACCCUGAUGCAGCGACGCCGCGUGGAGGAAGAAGGUCUUCGGAUUGUAAACUCCUGUUGUGGAGGAAGAUAAUGACGGUACUCAACAAGGAAGUGACGGCUAACUACGUG
RNAcentral lists this ribosomal RNA (466 nucleotides) under uncultured bacterium. Its description in RNAcentral is "partial 16S ribosomal RNA". It matches the Rfam family "Bacterial small subunit ribosomal RNA", at positions 28 to 507 of the family's 1533-position model. The record is from RNAcentral.